CAGCCGCCGCGGGAAUACGUAGGUGGCAAGCGUUGUCCGGAAUUAUUGGGCGUAAAGGGCUCGCAGGCGGUUUCUUAAGUCUGAUGCGAAAGCCCCCGGCUCAACCGGGGAGGGUCAUUGGAAACUGGGAAACUUGAGUGCAGAAGAGGAGAGUGGAAUUCCACGUGUAGCGGUGAAAUGCGUAGAGAUGUGGAGGAACACCAGUGGCGAAGGCGACUCUCUGGUCUGUAACUGACGCUGAGGAGCGAAAGCGUGGGGAGCGAACAGGAUUAGAUACCCCGGUAGUCCCUGUCUCUUAUAC
Molecule: ribosomal RNA, 301 nt
Filed under: uncultured bacterium
Lineage: Bacteria
Description: partial 16S ribosomal RNA
Rfam family: Bacterial small subunit ribosomal RNA
Source: RNAcentral